This 259-nucleotide ribosomal RNA is filed under the name uncultured bacterium. RNAcentral's name for it is "partial 16S ribosomal RNA". It matches the Rfam family "Bacterial small subunit ribosomal RNA", at positions 524 to 776 of the family's 1533-position model. The record is from RNAcentral.
UACGGGGGGGGGCAAGCGUUGUUCGGAAUUACUGGGCGUAAAGGGCGUCGUAGGCGGCCAACUAAGUCAGACGUGAAAUCCCCCGGCUUAACCGGGGGAACUCGCAUCUGAAUACUGGAUGGCUUGAGUUCGGGAGAGGUGAGUGGAACUGCGAGUGUAGAGGUGAAAUUCGUAGAUAUUCGCAAGAACACCAGUGGCGAAGGCGGCUCACUGGCCCGGAUACUGACGCUGAGGUGCGAAAGCGUGGGGAGCAAACAGG